CCCUCCUACAAAGGUGUGUCUGUGGUUCCCUGUCUAUGGACACAUAAGAAUCGGAGGCAAAGAAAUGUGGAAUUGGAGAAGUCUGGAGCCAGCUUGCUCCCUGCAGGCUCAAGAUCAACCAUCCCAUAUAG
Molecule: small nucleolar RNA, 131 nt
Organism: Eptesicus fuscus (big brown bat)
Lineage: Eukaryota; Metazoa; Chordata; Mammalia; Chiroptera; Vespertilionidae
Product: small nucleolar RNA SNORA38
Exons: 1
Source: RefSeq, a predicted model, not a curated record